ACUCCUACGGGAGGCAGCAGUGGGGAAUAUUGGACAAUGGGCGAAAGCCGAAUGGAGCAAUGCCGCGUGAGUGAUGAAGGCCUUAGGGUUGUAAAGCUCUUUUACCCGGGAUGAUAAUGCAACUACCGGGAGAAUAACGUCCGGCUAACUCCGUGCCAGCCGCCCGCGGUAAUACCCAGCAGCCGCGGUAAUA
This 193-nucleotide ribosomal RNA is filed under the name uncultured bacterium. RNAcentral's name for it is "partial 16S ribosomal RNA". It matches the Rfam family "Bacterial small subunit ribosomal RNA", at positions 335 to 538 of the family's 1533-position model. The record is from RNAcentral.